This 975-nucleotide ribosomal RNA is filed under the name human metagenome. RNAcentral describes it as "bacterial LSU rRNA". It matches the Rfam family "Bacterial large subunit ribosomal RNA", at positions 1815 to 2798 of the family's 2925-position model. The record is from RNAcentral.
ACAGCACUCUGCAAACACGAAAGUGGACGUAUAGGGUGUGACGCCUGCCCGGUGCUGGAAGGUUAAUUGAAGAUGUGAGAGCAUCGGAUCGAAGCCCCAGUAAACGGCGGCCGUAACUAUAACGGUCCUAAGGUAGCGAAAUUCCUUGUCGGGUAAGUUCCGACCUGCACGAAUGGCAUAAUGAUGGCCAGGCUGUCUCCACCCGAGACUCAGUGAAAUUGAAAUCGCCGUGAAGAUGCGGUGUACCCGCGGCUAGACGGAAAGACCCCGUGAACCUUUACUAUAGCUUGACACUGAACAUUGAAUUUUGAUGUGUAGGAUAGGUGGGAGACUUUGAAGUAGUCACGCCAGUGAUUAUGGAGUCGUCCUUGAAAUACCACCCUUUAACGUUUGAUGUUCUAACGAAGAUUGCGAAACGCGGUCUCGGACAGUGUCUGGUGGGUAGUUUGACUGGGGCGGUCUCCUCCCAAAGAGUAACGGAGGAGCACGAAGGUUUGCUAAUGACGGUCGGACAUCGUCAGGUUAGUGCAAUGGUAUAAGCAAGCUUAACUGCGAGACAGACAAGUCGAGCAGGUACGAAAGUAGGUCAUAGUGAUCCGGUGGUUCUGAAUGGAAGGGCCAUCGCUCAACGGAUAAAAGGUACUCCGGGGAUAACAGGCUGAUACCGCCCAAGAGUUCAUAUCGACGGCGGUGUUUGGCACCUCGAUGUCGGCUCAUCACAUCCUGGGGCUGAAGUAGGUCCCAAGGGUAUGGCUGUUCGCCAUUUAAAGUGGUACGCGAGCUGGGUUUAGAACGUCGUGAGACAGUUCGGUCCCUAUCUGCCGUGGGCGUUGGAGAAUUGAAAGGGGCUGCUCCUAGUACGAGAGGACCGGAGUGGACGCACCACUGGUGUUCCGGUUGUGUCGCCAGACGCAUUGCCGGGUAGCUAAGUGCGGAAGAGAUAAGUGCUGAAAGCAUCUAAGCACGAAACUUGCC